RNAcentral lists this long non-coding RNA (1592 nucleotides) under Mytilus galloprovincialis (Mediterranean mussel). Lineage: Eukaryota; Metazoa; Mollusca; Bivalvia; Mytilida; Mytilidae. The record is from RNAcentral.
UUCGAACUGUAUCUGCUGAUUAUGGUGCUUAGAAUUAAAUAUGAGUUUCAUAAAAUUUGCAUGAGGUAAAUGCAAGUUUAAGUGUGGAAAUGAAAAUGGGACUGACUAAACGGAAAGACAGAUCACUUAAUUUCCGUUCUCCUAUGGUGAGGGCAUACAAAACUAGUUUUAGAAAUGAUGGACUGAGAUAAUGAAGGACUGAGAUUUGUAACAUGGGAUAGCACAUAGAUUUGAUAAAAGGACAUACUUUUGAGGAUUGACAUAGGUUUGUUUCUUAAAUAUGAUUGAAAAUUCUUAAAAGUUAUAAAGUUAUUAUAUUACUUGGAGCUUCCAUUUUACAGAAAUUGAGUUCAACUUGCUUCAGCAGCUCUCUAGGGACAAGUUGUUGUGUAAAUGACAAAGGAUGAUAUGAAAAAUCUAAAAGUGUGAAAAUAAUGAUGUAAAUACCAAAUUUUACAUAUCUUUUUAUUAAACACAUAUUUGGAAUGUCCACACUUAUCACUAUUUAUAUUUACAAAUAUAUAAACAUUUACAUUGAAUAUAAAUACAUUAUCAAAAUAAAGCACUGAUAUAAAAAAAAUAUUAUCACAAACAUGGCAACUAUUAUGCAUUAACAAACAUACAUAUUAUAUACGUGUCUUUCCCUUAAUUUUUGUUGUUGAUAUUUAUGAGACAAUUUUAUUUACGGGGCAGAUCCAUGAUUUUAUAGAACAGGGGCAUAACUCAAAAAUAUUUUUAAAGAGUAAUACAAGUAUUUUAUAUAAACAAAGUCUGUAUCCUACCAGUCAUUUGAAUAAUUUCAGGUUUACAUAAACAAAUAAAAGAUUCAUUGAUUGUUGUUUGUUUAAUAUUACGUACAUGCAUGUUCAAAAUGAAACAAUCAUAAGUGUCUCACAAUUCAAACUCUUGUUUUUCUUAACAUUUUGUACUAUACAGAUUAUUUGUGAGAAUUUUAAGUUCUAUUUUGAUACUAUUGCUUUUCCUUUAAAAGUUUGUUCAUAUACAUCAUGAUACAUGUAUAUACGUAUAAAUGUGACAUUUAUUUUGAGUAUUGAAAUUUAUGAUUUAUUUCUGCCAAUAAAAUCAAUGAAAAUUGGUUGAAUGCAAUGAAUUUCACAAAUGUCACAUUCAUCCCAUUUUUCUCAAUACCUUUAUAUAAAUUACUAAUAAAAUCAAUAACAUUUUCCAUAAUGCUGUUUGUUUUAAUUUUUUCUGCUACCAUCAGUUUGACUUCCUUCUUCUGAUUUCAGUAUUUAUUUACCAAUUUCACUAUAAAAUUAUGUGAAAAUGGAAAUGGCAAGAUUUUACUAUUUUAAGGAAGUCAAAAUUAUAUAUCCAUAUAAUAAAAACUUAGUACACCUUUUAUACUUGAUGAGAAUAUUUAUACAUAAGAUAUAAGACUUAAAUAAUUUCCCAAAGACUGUUUAUAGAUAAGGAAAAACAAGUGUAAAGAAAGUUUUUUCUAUAUUCAGAACUAUAUGUAAAGAUAAAAAAAAACAAUAUAAGAAACAUUUAUCUUGUAAAAGAAAAAUUAAUUUUACCAACUAAUAAGGUAUUACAAAAUAGAAGUACUGUAGAAUGUUUCAUUCCAG